This 579-nucleotide ribosomal RNA is filed under the name Leptodactylus colombiensis. RNAcentral describes it as "partial 16S ribosomal RNA". It matches the Rfam family "Bacterial large subunit ribosomal RNA", at positions 1816 to 2598 of the family's 2925-position model. Lineage: Eukaryota; Metazoa; Chordata; Amphibia; Anura; Leptodactylidae. The record is from RNAcentral.
CGCUUCUUGAAAAACCCAUAAGAGGUCCAGCCUGCCCAGUGACUCUGUUCAACGGCCGCGGUAUCCUAACCGUGCGAAGGUAGCGUAAUCACUUGUUCUUUAAAUGAGGACUAGUAUGAAUGGCACCACGAAGGUUAUACUGUCUCCUUCCUCUAAUCAGUGAAACUAAUCUCCCCGUGAAGAAGCGGGGAUAAACCUAUAAGACGAGAAGACCCUAUGGAGCUUUAAACACAGUAAUAAAUGCCCCCCCCCUUUUUUUCUAUCCAAAUCUCCGGAAAACUACUUUAUCUGAGCAUCCUAAUUACAAGUUUUAGGUUGGGGUGACCGCGGAGUAAAAAAUAACCUCCACAGUGAAUGGGAUCUCUCCCUAAACUCAGGGCCACAGCCCUAAAAAUCAAUAAAUUGACACCCAUUGACCCAAUAUUUUUGAUCAAUGAACCAAGUUACCCUAGGGAUAACAGCGCAAUCCACUUCAAGAGCUCCUAUCGACAAGUGGGUUUACGACCUCGAUGUUGGAUCAGGGUACCCCAGUGGUGCAGCCGCUGCUAAAGGUUCGUUUGUUCAACGAUUAAAACCCUA